Carassius auratus (goldfish) is the source of this 1301-nucleotide long non-coding RNA. RefSeq lists it as uncharacterized. The record is from RefSeq and is a predicted model, not a curated record. NCBI's taxonomy places the organism in Eukaryota, Metazoa, Chordata, Actinopteri, Cypriniformes, Cyprinidae. The transcript has 6 exons.
GGGAGAUGGGCAAUAGCAGAACCUAAAUAGCAGCUCUAUGAAAGCAGCACGUUUUGCCAUCCAGUAUCAGGCGGACUCUUUGAUUAUAUUAAGAGAAUAUCACCAUAAUGGUACAGCUACAAAUGGGAAACUAAAAAAGGCCAUGCCACAAGGUAUCAGACUGGUCUGCAGGGUGUUCUCAGGUGCCGUCACUGGAUAAACUAGACCGAGGGACUUUUGAAUUCUUACAUGGCUCACGGGGAACUGACUGGGGAUGCAGUCUCCAAAAAGAACACAAAUAACCUUAAAAUAUGCACAAUGCUCUCUCACACAUGGACUGGAUUGCACAGCAUGCUUCAAAGAUGACAGACCAAGAUUCUGAGAAACUCACCAGACCAGACCUCAAAAAAUCCCUGGCUGCAGAACUGAGCACCAGCAGAGAUGACAGAUUUCAAAUCAACUGAGAUGAAUGGCAUUGCAAGACCUCCUAAUGCUGGCCUAGCGCGUUGAGCUAUCUCAGCCACCAUAAAAACCAACCACCAAUGGAUCCUCUGCAGUGAAUGGAUGCCAUUAGAAUGAGUGUUCAAACAGCUGAUAAAAACAUCCUCAAGUAAUCCACAACUUUAAUUCCAUCAAGUAAAGUUUUGUGAAGUGAAAAGCUGUGUGUUAGUAUGAAACAAAUUAAUAAUUAAGGUGUUUUAACUUUAAACCAUCACUUUCAGUUCAUAAUCCAUAAUUACUCUUCCUCCAGUGAAAAAGUCCAUACCCCGUUGCCCUCUCAAAUCAAAAACCACCAACUUAUUUGGUUAGAUCGGUUUUUGACCAUUUUUGCUUGUAAAAAGUGCUUUUAUCUGUGCAUUUUUGUCUGCUGAGAUGACUUUUUCUCUGGAGAAAGCAAUAUUAUGGAUAGAAGACUUUUUCUAUCCACGUAGUUUAACUGGAAAACAACUGGCCUGUAGGGUGAGCAAAUUAAUAGCAAAUUUCAGUGAACUAAAAAAAACAAAACUUUUUAUUGUAAUGGUGCGUCCCAAUAUGCCUACUAAUACUAUGCCCUUAAAGUAUGUUCUCUUUUGGUGAAGAAGAGUGUGUAGUAGAAGAGUAGGCAAGCUUUGGGACAUUACUAUCACAUCACAGAAUUGUGUCAUUCACGGACCACUCUGCCGCAUAGUUACACGCACCCUGUCACUGUAAACUGGCCUGUCAAUCAUCUUGUCAUGGUUAACAUUCUCCACAUUUCAUUUCAUAUAACUUCCCAAUACAUUGGGAAAAAAAAGUUGCAGCACUUGGUCGCCAGCUGUGGAUCUUUAUGCGGAUAAUUUUUA